Molecule: long non-coding RNA, 317 nt
Organism: Pomacea canaliculata
Lineage: Eukaryota; Metazoa; Mollusca; Gastropoda; Architaenioglossa; Ampullariidae
Exons: 3
Source: RefSeq, a predicted model, not a curated record
AGGACAUAUUGCUGCAGCAUCACGGUCCGGGGCCAGGCCUCGGCGAUUUUGAGUUCAUUUCAAAUAUUUACGUGAAACCUCGAUCACACCCAGCGAUAACACCUCGGACCUCAAAGGAGGACGAAAACACAGCACUCUACAUCAAUGUUUUUACAGAUGCACAAGACUGAAGACAUUUUGUACGACCUCGAUUAUGGGAAGAUGACCACCAAAAGCUUCGAAAUAGUGUCACUCUUCCUGUCUCGCCUCCAAAGAAAGUCUAAUCGGGUUUAACAUUUACGGUCUGGUCACCAUAGACUCGUCGAUAAUACCUGGGU